UGAAUAUCUGAGGAGACACACAUACUGGCUUCAGAUGAAGAACAAGCAUCCUAGCAAGUGGAGUUGGACUGCCUGAGGAAGCUGCAGGAGGGACAGAGAAGACAGCUCUCUUGGCAUCUUGUCUGUCUCCCCACCAGCCUGUGCUGUGGGAUCUGCUCCAGAGAGAGAAGAGUGUGUGGGCCCUGCAGAUUCUAGUGCAGGCAUACCUGCACAUGCCCCCAGAAAAUCUCCAGCACCUGGUGCUUUCAGCAGAGAGGGAGGCUGCUCAGGGCUUCCUGACACUCAUGCACCGUUCCUGGUCCCAGCUGCAGGUACCACCAUCUGAGGAGCAGGCCCUUGGUCGCCUGACGGCUUUGCUGCUCCAGCGGUACCCACGCCUCACCUCCCAGCUCUUCAUUGAUCUGUCACCACUCAUCCCCUUCCUGGCUGUC
Long non-coding RNA from Myotis brandtii (Brandt's bat), 431 nucleotides. RefSeq lists it as uncharacterized. The record is from RefSeq and is a predicted model, not a curated record. NCBI's taxonomy places the organism in Eukaryota, Metazoa, Chordata, Mammalia, Chiroptera, Vespertilionidae. The transcript has 3 exons.